GUCGAGCGGCAGCAGGCCCUUCGGGGUGCUGGCGAGCGGCGGACGGGUGAGUAAUGCAUGGGAACUUGCCCAGUAGUGGGGGAUAGCCCGGGGAAACCCGGAUUAAUACCGCAUACGCCCUGAGGGGGAAAGCGGGCCUUUGGCUCGCGCUAUUGGAUGGGCCCAUGUCGGAUUAGUUAGUUGGUGGGGUAACGGCUUACCAAGGCGACGAUCCGUAGCUGGUCUGAGAGGAUGAGCAGCCACACUGGGACUGAGACACGGCCCAGACUCCUACGGGAGGCAGCAGUGAGGAAUUUUCCGCAAUGGGCGCAAGCCUGACGGAGCCAGACCGCGUGAGGGAAGAAGGCCUUUGGGUUGUCAACCUCUUUUCUCAGGGAAGAAGCAAGUGACGGUACCUGAGGAAUCAGCCUCGGCUAACUCCGUGCCAGCAGCCGCAGUAAUACGGAGGAGGCAAGCGUUAUCCGGAAUUAUUGGGCGUAAAGCGUCCGCAGGUGGCAGCUCAAGUCUGCUGUCAAAGGCCGGGGCUCAACCCCGGGAAGGCAGUGGAAACUGGGAAGCUAGAGUGCGGUAGGGGUAGAGGGAAUUCCCAGUGUAGCGGUGAAAUGCGUAGAGAUUGGGAAGAACACCGGUGGCGAAAGCGCUCUACUGGACCGCAACUGACACUCAGGGACGAAAGCUAGGGUAGCGAAAGGGAUUAGAUACCCCUGUAGUCCUAGCCGUAAACGAUGGAUACUAGGCGUGGCUUGUAUCGACCCGAGCCGUGCCGAAGCUAACGCGUUAAGUAUCCCGCCUGGGGAGUACGCACGCAAGUGUGAAACUCAAAGGAAUUGACGGGGGCCCGCACAAGCGGUGGAGUAUGUGGUUUAAUUCGAUGCAACGCGAAGAACCUUACCAGGGCUUGACAUGUCGCGAACCCCGGUGAAAGCUGGGGGUGCCUUCGGGAGCGCGAACACAGUGGUGCAUGGCUGUCGUCGGCUCGUGUCGUGAGAUGUUGGGUUAAGUCCCGCAACGAGCGCAACC
This 1020-nucleotide ribosomal RNA is filed under the name uncultured bacterium. RNAcentral's name for it is "bacterial SSU rRNA". It matches the Rfam family "Bacterial small subunit ribosomal RNA", at positions 61 to 1103 of the family's 1533-position model. The record is from RNAcentral.